CCUACGGGGGCUGCAGUGGGGAAUAUUGGACAAUGGGCGAAAGCCUGAUCCAGCCAUGCCGCGUGUGUGAAGAAGGCCUUCGGGUUGUAAAGCACUUUCAGUGGGGAAGAAAGCCUUGGGGCUAAUACCCUCGAGGAAGGACAUCACCCACAGAAGAAGCACCGGCUAACUCCGUGCCAGCAGCCGCGGUAAUACGGAGGGUGCGAGCGUUAAUCGGAAUUACUGGGCGUAAAGCGCGCGUAGGCGGUCUGAUAAGCCGGUUGUGAAAGCCCCGGGCUCAACCUGGGAACGGCAUCCGGAACUGUCAGGCUAGAGUGCAGGAGAGGAAGGUAGAAUUCCCGGUGUAGCGGUGAAAUGCGUAGAGAUCGGGAGGAAUACCAGUGGCGAAGGCGGCCUUCUGGACUGACACUGACGCUGAGGUGCGAAAGCGUGGGUAGCAAACAGGAUUAGAUACCCGUGUAGUC
This 464-nucleotide ribosomal RNA is filed under the name Vreelandella stevensii. Its description in RNAcentral is "partial 16S ribosomal RNA". It matches the Rfam family "Bacterial small subunit ribosomal RNA", at positions 338 to 795 of the family's 1533-position model. Lineage: Bacteria; Pseudomonadati; Pseudomonadota; Gammaproteobacteria; Oceanospirillales; Halomonadaceae. The record is from RNAcentral.